This 332-nucleotide long non-coding RNA is filed under the name Salmo salar (Atlantic salmon). Its description in RNAcentral is "lncRNA (ENSSSAG00000101670.1, ENSSSAG00000121524.1)". The record is from RNAcentral. Lineage: Eukaryota; Metazoa; Chordata; Actinopteri; Salmoniformes; Salmonidae.
CCGGUACAGAGUCAAUGUGGAGGCUAUAUACAGGGUAUUACGGUACAGAGUCAAUGUGGAGGCUAUAUACAGGGGGUACCGGUACAGAGUCAAUGUGGAGGCUAUAUACAGGGGGUACCGAUACAGAGUCAAUGUGGAGGCUAUAUACAGGGGGUACCGGUACAGAGUCAAUGUGGAGGCUAUAUACAGGGGGUACCGGUACAGAGUCAAUGUGGAGGCUAUAUACAGGGGGUACCGGUACAGAGUCAAUGUGGAGGCUAUAUACAGGGUGUACCGGUACAGAGUCAAUGUGGAGGCUAUAUACAGGGGGUACCGGUACAGAGUCAAUGUGG